AUGCGGUGGCUUCGGGGUAGAUGGACCUCCCCAUGCUGUCCUGAGAGAGCAUGGCCAGGGGUCCCCGGAGGACUGGAACAUCGGAACAUCACUUCCGGAGUGGUCCCCAGCUCCUGCGAUCCCAGGGAGGAAGGGGAGCCCAGCCCCCUGCACGGUGUGCAUGUGGCCCUGGGGUGGAGGUGGGUGCUUACCCAUGGGAUGGCACAGCCACCUUCAGGAGAUCACGGCGCCGCAGCUCACCUGGGGUCCCCACCUGAGGGUUCGGAGAAGGGGAGGAGGAGGACUUUAACCAGCCAGAGUGCGUCGGUCCUCCACAAAGCUCUUGGAGCACCUACAGGGUGCUGGGGACGUAGGCUGGGGGCUAAGGUUCCCCCACAAAGUCAUUUAUGUAACAAAGUCCUGCAGGAGGCCCAGUCCCGGAGCAGGGGCAGCUCUGGCGCUGCGGGCCGGUGGCCUCGGCCUCGUGGUGCGGGCGCCGCCCUGGGGGACAGGCAGGAUGGGGUGGGGCAGGGAUCCCGCUGCCCUGCUGGAGGGAGCGCAGCAGGCCCACAGCCCCCCUGCCCUGGGUGUGGGCGCGGAGGGGGCUUCGGGCACCCCGGGCCCAGCCUGUCGGGGAGCCGGGCCGGGGGAGCGACGCGCCGUCACGUCACGUGCUGGGCUCCGGCCGGCGUCCUCCUCCUUCCUCGGGCGCGGGCGGCGCCCCAGAGCCAGGCGAGCCUCAGGGCCCAGCAGGCAGACACCCUCCGCGCCCCCAGCCGCCAGGGCCCGUAUCUCCGCUGCAAUGGGGGGUCCGGGGCGCCCACCCGAGCCCCUAGGCUGCAGCCCUCGCUGCCCGUGGAGCCCUCCGCACCCCCCCAGGUGUCUAGUGGGCCGGCGGGGCCUGGGGGAACCCCGGGGGCUUCUGGGCGCCCUCCGCGCCCCGGCCGCCCCCGGCCUCACCUUCCGGCCUUGGGCGCCACCUGGUGGCCGCGCCUGCGCCCUGCGCUGCCCUUUGUGCGGCGGGAGCAGAGGCUGCUGGGAGGACGGCGGGCGCGCCUCCUGCGGGGUGGCCGCCAGGAGGGCGCGGGGGCAGGGACCCCCGAAGGCCGCCGGGGCCGCAGAACACGCUCUCCGCCGCAGCCGGGGGUAGGCAAGGGGCCCCAGCCAAGGGGGGAGNAACCCCGCGGCACUGGGCCGGGAAAUCCAGCAGGGGGCGGGGGCGGCCAGUUUCCUGAGUUCUUAGCAGCAGCGGGGCCCUAACACCUGGAAUUGUACGGAAUUAGCAGCUUGGCUCCCAGAGAGGAGAGGCGGAGGGUGAGAGGAAGCCUAGCCCCUGCCCCAAAGGGACAGACGCAGGACCAACUGCCCGUGGAGAGACUGGGUAGAACCGGCAGUUUGAAAAACGCCUGGGGCACACGGGACAGUCGUUGAUUCAUCGCAACCGCAACCUGUGUCUCGGAGGGACAGAGGGUGGUGGGGGACACUCCCCCCCCCCCCCCCCCCCGCNNNNNNNNNNNNNNNNNNNNNNNNNNNNNNNNNNNNNNNNNNNNNNNNNNNNNNNNNNNNNNNNGGGGGAGCCCCCCCCCCCCCCCCCCAGCCUGGACCCCCGCUACCCGCCUGUGGGAACUAGCGCGGAGAGGCUCCAGCUAACUGCCUGCCCCGUGCUCCUGCGGCUCCACCCCUGGGGCUUGGCCUGCCUCAAUCCUGGUGCUGGGGGCCCUCCCGCAGGGAACCAGCCGCUCAAAAACCUUCCCACCCCUGUGCAUGCUCUUGGCAAGUUCCCACCAAAACAGUCCCACCACCCUGGCAGUGUGCAGGCAGCCCCCGACAAGGGCCAGCCCCACUCCAAAGUGAGUCCUGCCCCAGGGGGAGGGGAAGAGGACCACAGGCCAGUCUGACAGCGGCCCCAGCAGUCGGCUGGGGGCAGGCAGCUGGUCUGACUGCAGGCCCCGCACACCAAUAAAAGCUUCUGGGGGACAAUACA
Long non-coding RNA from Vulpes vulpes (red fox), 1963 nucleotides. The record is from Ensembl. Lineage: Eukaryota; Metazoa; Chordata; Mammalia; Carnivora; Canidae.